AUGCAAGUCGAACGGUAACAUUUCUAGCUUGCUAGAAGAUGACGAGUGGCGGACGGGUGAGUAAUGCUUGGGAACUUGCCUUUGCGAGGGGGAUAACAGUUGGAAACGACUGCUAAUACCGCAUAAAGCCUUCGGACCAAACGGGGCUUCGGCUCCGGCGCAAAGAGAGGCCCAAGUGAGAUUAGCUAGUUGGUAAGGUAACGGCUUACCAAGGCGACGAUCUCUAGCUGUUCUGAGAGGAAGAUCAGCCACACUGGGACUGAGACACGGCCCAGACUCCUACGGGAGGCAGCAGUGGGGAAUAUUGCACAAUGGGGGAAACCCUGAUGCAGCCAUGCCGCGUGUGUGAAGAAGGCCUUCGGGUUGUAAAGCACUUUCAGUUGUGAGGAAAAGUUAGUAGUUAAUACCUGCUAGCCGUGACGUUAACAACAGAAGAAA
Molecule: ribosomal RNA, 438 nt
Filed under: uncultured bacterium
Lineage: Bacteria
Description: bacterial SSU rRNA
Rfam family: Bacterial small subunit ribosomal RNA
Source: RNAcentral